GGUGAAGAACGCAGCGAAAUGCGAUAAGUAAUGUGAAUUGCAGAAUUCCGUGAAUCAUCGAGUCUUUGAACGCACAUUGCGCCCCCUGGUAUUCCGGGGGGCAUGCCUGUCCGAGCGUCAUUGCUGCCCUCAAGCACGGCUUGUGUGUUGGGCCCCGUCCUCCGAUCCCGGGGGACGGGCCCGAAAGGCAGCGGCGGCACCGCGUCCGGUCCUCGAGCGUAUGGGGCUUUGUCACCCGCUCUGUAGGCCCGGCCGGCGCUUGCCGAUCAACCCAAAUUUUUAUCCAGGUUGACCUCGGAUCAGGUAGGGAUACCCGCUGAACUUAAGCAUAUCAAUAAGCGGAGGA
Molecule: unclassified non-coding RNA, 346 nt
Filed under: soil metagenome
Description: partial contains 5.8S ribosomal RNA, internal transcribed spacer 2, and large subunit ribosomal RNA
Rfam family: 5.8S ribosomal RNA (bases 3-120)
Source: RNAcentral